UUCGGCCUGCCCGCCACCUGG
This 21-nucleotide unclassified non-coding RNA is filed under the name Chlamydomonas reinhardtii. RNAcentral describes it as "small RNA Cre_3829". Lineage: Eukaryota; Viridiplantae; Chlorophyta; Chlorophyceae; Chlamydomonadales; Chlamydomonadaceae. The record is from RNAcentral.